This 484-nucleotide ribosomal RNA is filed under the name uncultured bacterium. RNAcentral's name for it is "partial 16S ribosomal RNA". It matches the Rfam family "Bacterial small subunit ribosomal RNA", at positions 30 to 507 of the family's 1533-position model. The record is from RNAcentral.
AUUGAACGCUGGCGGCAGGCCUAACACAUGCAAGUCGAGCGGACGAAGGGAGCUUGCUCCUGGAUUCAGCGGCGGACGGGUGAGUAAUGCCUAGGAAUCUGCCCGGCAGUGGGGGAUAACGUCCGGAAACGGGCGCUAAUACCGCAUACGUCCUGAGGGAGAAAGUGGGGGAUCUUCGGACCUCACGCUAUCAGAUGAGCCUAGGUCGGAUUAGCUAGUUGGUGGGGUAAAGGCCUACCAAGGCGACGAUCCGUAACUGGUCUGAGAGGAUGAUCAGUCACACUGGAACUGAGACACGGUCCAGACUCCUACGGGAGGCAGCAGUGGGGAAUAUUGGACAAUGGGCGAAAGCCUGAUCCAGCCAUGCCGCGUGUGUGAAGAAGGUCUUCGGAUUGUAAAGCACUUUAAGUUGGGAGGAAGGGCAGUAAGUUAAUACCUUGCUGUUUUGACGUUACCAACAGAAUAAGCACCGGCUAACUUCGUG